GGGAAUCGCUGCGACUUGCCGGCGCUGGGGGUCCGGUCGGUAUCGCUGAUCGCCGCGGGGAGCUCGACAGAAGCUGGAAAAUUGCUUGAUUAUGAUUGAAUCAGAACCCAGUUAUCCGGCCCGCAACUUCUGGGACAGAUGGUGACCCCCAAGAGCCGGAGGACCAUGAGCAGUUCCCCACCAGACCCCGGGCCCAUCUGAAAAGACUAACACGGCUGCUACUCUGAAACCUGUCUUUGAAGUUAUGGUUUCCCUUAGAGGGAAAGCUUCGACCUUAACAAGAUUGUGCACCUCAGAAGUGCGCUUCUGGCCAAUGUCAGUGUGAGGCAUAUUUCUAUUGGCAUGAAGAAACAGAAGGGGGGGAAAAAAACCCGGCUCCAUGAAUCUCAAAUGAGGAGUCUCAAGGACUCCCAGGAGAAACUUACAACAUGAUUAAAAAAAGAUAAAAAGAAAAAUUGGCAAAGAAUUUAAAUCCAACUAAGCCGGCAAGAACUAUUAAGCAAUGGAAGCCCCUUACAUUCACCCUUCAGACAGUGUCUCCCCAUAUUGAGGAAAUGUUCCCCUUGCGCUAGUUCCCGGGCAUUGGUGCUUCGGGUCAUGAGACCUCGGUGUCUGCACAUGCACCUUGGUCUCCUACUUGGAAUUGUAUAAUUUAUUUAAAAAUUUUCCAAAAAAUAAGAGAGGACCCUGUUAAAUUAAAAAAGAAAUUGCAAAUUGUUAUAAACUGUUAUAACCCUACAUGGGCAGAUUUAAACCAGCUUCUAUGAGGGGUCAUGCCUAGGAAAACACUGAGUUGCCUUUGUGAAAAAGCUCAGAGGCCCAAGCAAAAUCCAGGCCAUAACCAGAAAAAGUUAAAUAAAAUCAGGAAAAAGCUGCUAAAUAAAAUUCUCACCAUCUGCCCAAAGAAAGCUGACUGAAGCAAAAAUUAGCACCUGUGAACAAAGUAAAAAUAAAAAUUUAAAUAAAACCCAAAUACUCUCACCACCACAUUAAAAUUAAGUUAAUGACCUUCCAGCUCCAGAACAUACAGGAACCCCGUAAUAGCCACCCAUUGCAGGGGGAGAAGGGGAAGGCCAAACCAAGGUCCCCACCAUCCACCUCCCCUAGGAACCCAGUGAUGGCGUGUGUUACUAUUGCAAGCAAAUGGGCCAUUGGAUACAGUAAAUAUCCCUACCGCCCUGGUCGAUCCAAAAGCCCGUAAAGGUUGGCAAUACUCUUUUUCCCCACCCCGUCUCUUCACCUCUGUCCGUUUUUGUCGGUCCUUUGUUUGACCAUCAUGCUUUCCUCCUAAGUCCUUGUUCACCUGCUAACCUUUUGGGAAAAGCAUUGCUGUGUAAAUUAAAUUGUAUAAUCUGCUGUACCCCAAAUGGUGUGAUCUGGACAUGCCUGAUCCUGCUCACAAUGAGAUCCUGGCAGUUUACCUGACCAACCCCAGCCCUUCCUCGUUGCAACUGCUGGCUAAGGUCUCUCCCUCCUUGUAAGCCUUGUGAGCCGAUUUAGUUGGGGAUUGGUCCUGCCUUGAGCAGGGGGUUGGACUAGAUGACCUCCCCGUCCCUUCCAACCCUUAUAUUCUAUGAUUCUAUGAUCAUGCCGACCAGGUUCAGUGCAUUGGGUCUGCCCAACCAGUUAAGAUUCACCUAAACCCAGCAAGACCCCUUCCUGAGGUGCAGCAGUACCCUCUAUCAAAAUAGGCCAAGGAAAAAUCCAACCUGUUCUUACCUCCUGCAUUCAGCAAGGAGUCAUUAUUCCUGUGGUCAGUGAGUGUAACUCCCCCAUUUUACCGUGCUGUUGAUGCUACUGUUCUUCCUAUCUUUCCCGUUGUCCCUAGUCCUGCUACUAUCCUUUCCUGCAAAGCACCGGUGCUGAGGGGUUGUUACCGUCUCAAAUAAGAAAAAGGUUGUAUUAAGUCCAAACAUAUGUAAGCAGAGUCAGGAUGGGCUCCACCCUGACAUCUGGUGGUGAGGUGUGGCAAGUAGUGGAAAAGAACUUCAGGGGCUGAUCUCAAUUUGCAUAGGCACACCCACCCC
Chelonia mydas (Green sea turtle) is the source of this 2027-nucleotide long non-coding RNA. RefSeq lists it as uncharacterized. The transcript has 3 exons. Lineage: Eukaryota; Metazoa; Chordata; Testudines; Cheloniidae. The record is from RefSeq and is a predicted model, not a curated record.